UACGAAGGGGGCUAGCGUUGCUCGGAAUCACUGGGCGUAAAGGGUGCGUAGGCGGGUCUUUAAGUCAGAGGUGAAAUCCUGGAGCUCAACUCCAGAACUGCCUUUGAUACUGAGGAGCUUGAGUACGGGAGAGGUGAGUGGAACUGCGAGUGUAGAGGUGAAAUUUGUAGAUAUUCGCAAGAACACCAGUGGCGAAGGCGGCUCACUGGCCCGUUACUGACGCUGAGGCACGAAAGCGUGGGGAGCAAACAGG
Molecule: ribosomal RNA, 253 nt
Filed under: uncultured bacterium
Lineage: Bacteria
Description: partial 16S ribosomal RNA
Rfam family: Bacterial small subunit ribosomal RNA
Source: RNAcentral